This 253-nucleotide ribosomal RNA is filed under the name uncultured bacterium. RNAcentral's name for it is "partial 16S ribosomal RNA". It matches the Rfam family "Bacterial small subunit ribosomal RNA", at positions 524 to 776 of the family's 1533-position model. The record is from RNAcentral.
UACGAAGGGGGCUAGCGUUGCUCGGAAUCACUGGGCGUAAAGGGUGCGUAGGCGGGUCUUUAAGUCAGGGGUGAAAUCCUGGAGCUCAACUCCAGAACUGCCUUUGAUACUGAGGAUCUUGAGUUCGGGAGAGGUGAGUGGAACUGCGAGUGUAGAGGUGAAAUUCGUAGAUAUUGGGAAGAACACCGGUGGCGAAGGCGGCUCUCUGGACCGAGACUGACGCUGAGGCGCGAAAGCGUGGGGAGCAAACAGG